GCGGUGGAUGAUGUGGUUUAAUUCGAUGCAACGCGAAAACCUUACCUACCCUUGACAUGCCAGGAACCCUGCAGAGAUGUGGGGUGCUCGCAAGAGAGCCUGGACACAGGUGCUGCAUGGCUGUCGUCAGCUCGUGUCGUGAGAUGUUGGGUUAAGUCCCGCAACGAGCGCAACCCUUGCCAUUAGUUGCUACGAAAGGGCACUCUAAUGGGACUGCCGGUGACAAACCGGAGGAAGUGGGGAUGACGUCAAGUCCUCAUGGCCCUUAUGGGUAGGGCUACACACGUCAUACAAUGGCCGGUACAGAGGGCUGCCAACCCGCGAGGGGGAGCCAAUCCCGUAAAACCGGUCGUAGUCCGGAUUGCAGUCUGCAACUCGACUGCAUGAAGUCGGAAUCGCUAGUAAUCGCGGAUCAGCAUGUCGCGGUGAAUACGUUCCCGGGUCUU
Molecule: ribosomal RNA, 446 nt
Filed under: uncultured Tepidimonas sp.
Lineage: Bacteria; Pseudomonadati; Pseudomonadota; Betaproteobacteria; Burkholderiales
Description: bacterial SSU rRNA
Rfam family: Bacterial small subunit ribosomal RNA
Source: RNAcentral